This 460-nucleotide ribosomal RNA is filed under the name uncultured bacterium. Its description in RNAcentral is "partial 16S ribosomal RNA". It matches the Rfam family "Bacterial small subunit ribosomal RNA", at positions 338 to 795 of the family's 1533-position model. The record is from RNAcentral.
CCUACGGGUGGCAGCAGUGAGGAAUAUUGGUCAAUGGACGCAAGUCUGAACCAGCCAAGUAGCGUGAAGGAUGACUGCCCUAUGAGUUGUAAACUGCUUUUAUAAAGGGGUAAAACGAGGCACGUGUGCCUUUUUGCAUGUACUUUAUGAAUAAGGAUCGGCUAACUCCGUGCCAGCAGCCGCGGUAAUACGGAGGAUCCGAGCGUUAUCCGGAUUUAUUGGGUUUAAAGGGAGCGUAGAUGGGUUGUUAAGUCAGUGGUGAAAGUUUGCGGCUCAACCGUAAAAUUGCAAUUGAUACUGGCAGUCUUGAGUACAGUUGAGGUAGGCGGAAUGCGUGGUGUAGCGGUGAAAUGCUUAGAUAUCACGCAGAACCCCGAUUGCGAAGGCAGCUUACUAAACUGUGACUGACAUUGAUGCUCGAAAGUGUGGGGAUCAAACAGGAUUAGAUACCCGGGUAGUC